RNAcentral lists this ribosomal RNA (1156 nucleotides) under Staphylococcus aureus. Its description in RNAcentral is "partial 23S ribosomal RNA". It matches the Rfam family "Bacterial large subunit ribosomal RNA", at positions 303 to 1461 of the family's 2925-position model. The record is from RNAcentral. Lineage: Bacteria; Bacillati; Bacillota; Bacilli; Caryophanales; Staphylococcaceae.
GGACACUCUAUACGGAGUUACAAAGGACGACAUUAGACGAAUCAUCUGGAAAGAUGAAUCAAAGAAGGUAAUAAUCCUGUAGUCGAAAAUGUUGUCUCUCUUGAGUGGAUCCUGAGUACGACGGAGCACGUGAAAUUCCGUCGGAAUCUGGGAGGACCAUCUCCUAAGGCUAAAUACUCUCUAGUGACCGAUAGUGAACCAGUACCGUGAGGGAAAGGUGAAAAGCACCCCGGAAGGGGAGUGAAAUAGAACCUGAAACCGUGUGCUUACAAGUAGUCAGAGCCCGUUAAUGGGUGAUGGCGUGCCUUUUGUAGAAUGAACCGGCGAGUUACGAUUUGAUGCAAGGUUAAGCAGUAAAUGUGGAGCCGUAGCGAAAGCGAGUCUGAAUAGGGCGUUUAGUAUUUGGUCGUAGACCCGAAACCAGGUGAUCUACCCUUGGUCAGGUUGAAGUUCAGGUAACACUGAAUGGAGGACCGAACCGACUUACGUUGAAAAGUGAGCGGAUGAACUGAGGGUAGCGGAGAAAUUCCAAUCGAACCUGGAGAUAGCUGGUUCUCUCCGAAAUAGCUUUAGGGCUAGCCUCAAGUGAUGAUUAUUGGAGGUAGAGCACUGUUUGGACGAGGGGCCCCUCUCGGGUUACCGAAUUCAGACAAACUCCGAAUGCCAAUUAAUUUAACUUGGGAGUCAGAACAUGGGUGAUAAGGUCCGUGUUCGAAAGGGAAACAGCCCAGACCACCAGCUAAGGUCCCAAAAUAUAUGUUAAGUGGAAAAGGAUGUGGCGUUGCCCAGACAACUAGGAUGUUGGCUUAGAAGCAGCCAUCAUUUAAAGAGUGCGUAAUAGCUCACUAGUCGAGUGACACUGCGCCGAAAAUGUACCGGGGCUAAACAUAUUACCGAAGCUGUGGAUUGUCCUUUGGACAAUGGUAGGAGAGCGUUCUAAGGGCGUUGAAGCAUGAUCGUAAGGACAUGUGGAGCGCUUAGAAGUGAGAAUGCCGGUGUGAGUAGCGAAAGACGGGUGAGAAUCCCGUCCACCGAUUGACUAAGGUUUCCAGAGGAAGGCUCGUCCGCUCUGGGUUAGUCGGGUCCUAAGCUGAGGCCGACAGGCGUAGGCGAUGGAUAACAGGUUGAUAUUCCUGUACCACCUAUAAUCGUUUUA